This is a long non-coding RNA of Equus quagga, 1806 nucleotides long. RefSeq lists it as uncharacterized. The transcript has 2 exons. NCBI's taxonomy places the organism in Eukaryota, Metazoa, Chordata, Mammalia, Perissodactyla, Equidae. The record is from RefSeq and is a predicted model, not a curated record.
UCAGAGACACAGGGACGUGGAGAGAGACUGGGGGUAGACGGCUAGGCCAUACCCCUUCCUCCUCCUGGGGGGCACUGGACCAGUGGGAAAGGGGCACCAACAAGGCCAUAUUGCAGAGGGGGCAGUUGGGGAGCCAAUAAGUACCAUCCAUGGUGCUAAUGAGCAUCAGAGGAGAAGCAGAGGGAGAGGGCAGGCAGGAAAGAGGAUCUCAGUUCUCUGCCUGUCUGUCUGCAGGGACCAGAGCUCUGGGGACACAGACAAGGCAUUAGGCAGGACCUGGCCACAGUGAGGGACUCUGCAGACAGCACAGGGUGUGGCAAAGUCUGCUCCCAGCUCUAUAAAUAGCACUGAGGCCUGAAACAUGCACAGGGUUCUGCCGAAGAUGAAGCGGGCUACAGAGCACACCAGGCUCUGCAACCAGGUCAACACAGACGAUGUUUGUGAGUGCAUGAAUGAAUGAAUGAAUGAGUGAAUGAAUGGGAGAGAGGGAGGGAGGGAAGGAGGGGCUAGAUCUUACUCCCUGGUAUAUUCGCAGCACCUAGCGCUGUGCCAUGCACAUAGUAGGUGUGCAUAUAUAUUGUCAAAUGGACGAAGACAGGAGUAUCCACCUGCCUCCCUCUCCACGAGACCCCCAGAGCUUCCUACAGUGCCCGGCAGGCGGCAGAUGUGCGAUGAUUGUGUAUUUAACAAAUGUAUUAUUGGGUGAACGGACAGAUAGAAAACUGAGUUACGGGCUCCAUCGUCUGUGGGGGUGUCUGGGGCUUUAGUUUGGGAAGGAGAUGGGUGGAGUCUGGACGCCAGAGAGGUGGAGGAGGGGUACGGUACCUCUAAGCGGGGCCUCAGUGCUUGGUCAGGCUAGUGACCCUCACUCUCCUCCCCUGCCCAAUGCCCGAAGCCGACACCAGCCCUUCAACCACCUCACCUGCCAGGGAUUGCAACAUGACACCCCCAGGCUUCCUAAAUUCCCCUGGCCUCCAGCAGCCAAGAGCAGGCACAGUGGGGAGGAAUGGAAACCAGGCAUGGGUAAAACACCUCCCAUCUUUCUGGCUGAGACCCCAUGUUCAUACCUCACCCACCCCAGUCCUCGCUCUGUCCUAACCCCGGGAAACAAACCAGAACUGAGUACAUGGAGAAGGGUGUAGAGUUGCCUGGGCCAUCCACUGGCUCCCGUCCAACUCCAGCUCCCAGGCGGCAUCAUGUAGGGGUCCCUUGCCCAUAUGACUGGCCUCCUCAGCCAGGAAGAAGAGCCUGUGAGCAGCCUGAGGCAGGCAGGGACCCAAGAACAGUCGCAGGAAGGUGCCACAGAAGCCGAGGAGAGGCGGACAGAGCAGGAAGACAAGGACACCAAGAAAGUCUGGAACUCUGGCCCCUGCCUCCUCACCACAAGCAGGCAGGACACAGUGAGCAACAAAGAACCACCAACCAGCCACCGAACCGAAGAUUUAUUGAACGCCUGCCGUGCUACGACCUUCAGGCACAGGGGUUCACCUCUACAUCCUGUAUGUGGCUGUACAGCACCAGACUGUCUCCGAUUUUAAAUGGACUCUUCUCCAUUACGAACAGCAUGGAACAGACACAAUUGGCUGAAACCCGCUCAGGAGUAAAAAUACAAAUAGAAGUUUUUAAAGAUCAGGAUGAAGAAAGAAAAAUGCCCUAAGAUGUUACAGCUUCUCUCAAUUUUCCCCCAGAUGCCCCCCAAAGUGUUAAUGUGUAAAUAACUAAUCAUUUCAGCUAAUUAUUUAUUUCAACCAACCAAUUUAUGUCAACUGUUUGAUUAACUUAUCACAUAAACUGCUUUCAAUCAAA